AACCUAGCACACCUGCGGUGUGUACCUGCGGAAGGAUCAUUACAGAGUUGCAAAACUCCCUAAACCAUUGUGAACGUUACCUAAACCGUUGCUUCGGCGGGCGGCCCGGGUCCUUCCCGGCGCCCAUCGGCCCUCGCGGGCGCCCGCCGGAGGUAAACCAAACUAUUGCAUUGUAUGGCCUCUCUGAGUCUUCUGUACUGAAUAAGUCAAAACUUUCAACAAUGGAUCUCAGAUCGGAAG
This 240-nucleotide unclassified non-coding RNA is filed under the name soil metagenome. Its description in RNAcentral is "partial contains 5.8S ribosomal RNA, internal transcribed spacer 2, and large subunit ribosomal RNA". The record is from RNAcentral.